AUUACUUUGGCAGAUAAGUGUAAUGGAUUUAGAAUUCAUAUAUGUAAUUGAAUUUUACAAGUAAUA
Molecule: transfer RNA, 66 nt
Filed under: Papuadytes commatifer
Lineage: Eukaryota; Metazoa; Arthropoda; Insecta; Coleoptera; Dytiscidae
Description: transfer RNA-Leu
Source: RNAcentral